Molecule: ribosomal RNA, 253 nt
Filed under: uncultured bacterium
Lineage: Bacteria
Description: partial 16S ribosomal RNA
Rfam family: Bacterial small subunit ribosomal RNA
Source: RNAcentral
UACAGAGGUCUCAAGCGUUGUUCGGAUUCAUUGGGCGUAAAGGGUGCGUAGGCGGCGCGGUAAGUCGGGUGUGAAAUCUCGGGGCUUAACUCCGAAACUGCAUUCGAUACUGCCGUGCUUGAGGACUGGAGAGGAGACUGGAAUUUACGGUGUAGCGGUGAAAUGCGUAGAUAUCGUAAGGAAGACCAGUGGCGAAGGCGGCUCACUGGCCCGUAACUGACGCUGAGGUGCGAAAGCGUGGGGAGCAAACAGG